GGAGUACGGCCGCAAGGUUAAAACUCAAAUGAAUUGACGGGGGCCCGCACAAGCGGUGGAGCAUGUGGUUUAAUUCGAUGCAACGCGAAGAACCUUACCUGGUCUUGACAUCCACAGAACUUUCCAGAGAUGGAUUGGUGCCUUCGGGAACUGUGAGACAGGUGCUGCAUGGCUGUCGUCAGCUCGUGUUGUGAAAUGUUGGGUUAAGUCCCGCAACGAGCGCAACCCUUAUCCUUUGUUGCCAGCGGUUCGGCCGGGAACUCAAAGGAGACUGCCAGUGAUAAACUGGAGGAAGGUGGGGAUGACGUCAAGUCAUCAUGGCCCUUACGACCAGGGCUACACACGUGCUACAAUGGCAUAUACAAAGAGAAGCGACCUCGCGAGAGCAAGCGGACCUCAUAAAGUAUGUCGUAGUCCGGAUUGGAGUCUGCAACUCGACUCCAUGAAGUCGGAAUCGCUAGUAAUCGUAGAUCAGAAUGCU
RNAcentral lists this ribosomal RNA (481 nucleotides) under Klebsiella pneumoniae. Its description in RNAcentral is "bacterial SSU rRNA". It matches the Rfam family "Bacterial small subunit ribosomal RNA", at positions 877 to 1358 of the family's 1533-position model. Lineage: Bacteria; Pseudomonadati; Pseudomonadota; Gammaproteobacteria; Enterobacterales; Enterobacteriaceae. The record is from RNAcentral.